AUGCACGCUGGCGGCGUGCCUAAUACAUGCAAGUCGCGCGAACAGACGAGGAGCUUGCUCCUCUGACGUUAGCGGCGGACGGGUGAGUAACACGUGGAUAACCUACCUAUAAGACUGGGAUAACUUCGGGAAACCGGAGCUAAUACCGGAUAAUAUAUUGAACCGCAUGGUUCAAUAGUGAAAGACGGUUUUGCUGUCACUUAUAGAUGGAUCCGCGCCGCAUUAGCUAGUUGGUAAGGUAACGGCUUACCAAGGCGACGAUGCGUAGCCGACCUGAGAGGGUGAUCGGCCCCACUGGAACUGAGACACGGUCCAGACUCCUACGGGAGGCAGCAGUAGGGAAUCUUCCGCAAUGGGCGAAAGCCUGACGGAGCAACGCCGCGUGAGUGAUGAAGGUCUUCGGAUCGUAAAACUCUGUUAUUAGGGAAGAACAAAUGUGUAAGUAACUAUGCACGUCUUGACGGUACCUAAUCAGAAAGCCACGGCUAACUACGUG
Molecule: ribosomal RNA, 496 nt
Filed under: uncultured bacterium
Lineage: Bacteria
Description: partial 16S ribosomal RNA
Rfam family: Bacterial small subunit ribosomal RNA
Source: RNAcentral